CUAGCAAGAUCCUGCUUCGGUCCGGCCCUUCCGGGGGCCGGUGAAUAGGGAAUGCGGUGCGGAGGAUCCCCUCCCAGACCGCGACUGCCCCCGCAACUGUAGGCGGAGAGCGACACCGGACCAUGUCACUGCGGCGCACCCGUGCCGUGGGAAGACCCGGUGAAGCCGUGACCCGCGAGUCAGGAGACCUGCCGAGGCCGAUCACCCUGU
RNAcentral lists this non-coding RNA (210 nucleotides) under Pseudooceanicola marinus. The record is from RNAcentral. Lineage: Bacteria; Pseudomonadati; Pseudomonadota; Alphaproteobacteria; Rhodobacterales; Paracoccaceae.